UGGGGAAUAUUGGGGCAAAUGGGGCGAAAGCCUGACCCAGCAACGCCGCGUGAAGGAAGAAGGCCUUCGGUUGUAAACUUCUUCUAUCAGGGACGAAGGAAGUGACGGUACCUGAUGAAUAAGCCACGGCUAACUACGUGCCAGCAGCCGCGGUAAUACGUAGGUGGCAAGCGUUAUCCGGAUUUACUGGGUGUAAAGGGCGCGUAGGCGGGGAUGCAAGUCAGAUGUGAAAUCUAUGGGCUCAACCCAUAAACUGCAUUUGAAACUGUAUCUCUUGAGUGUCGGAGAGGUAGAUGGAAUUCCUAGUGUAGCGGUGAAAUGCGUA
Molecule: ribosomal RNA, 325 nt
Filed under: uncultured Oscillospiraceae bacterium
Lineage: Bacteria; Bacillati; Bacillota; Clostridia; Eubacteriales; Oscillospiraceae
Description: bacterial SSU rRNA
Rfam family: Bacterial small subunit ribosomal RNA
Source: RNAcentral